GUGUCAGCAGCCGCGGUAAUACGUAGGGUGCGAGCGUUGUCCGGAAUUAUUGGGCGUAAAGAGCUUGUAGGCGGUUUGUCGCGUCUGCUGUGAAAAUUCAGGGCUUAACCCUGGACGUGCAGUGGGUACGGGCAGACUAGAGUGUGGUAGGGGAGACUGGAAUUCCUGGUGUAGCGGUGGAAUGCGCAGAUAUCAGGAGGAACACCGAUGGCGAAGGCAGGUCUCUGGGCCAUUACUGACGCUGAGAAGCGAAAGCAUGGGGAGCGAACAGGAUUAGAUACCCUGGUAGUCC
RNAcentral lists this ribosomal RNA (292 nucleotides) under uncultured Micrococcales bacterium. RNAcentral describes it as "partial 16S ribosomal RNA". It matches the Rfam family "Bacterial small subunit ribosomal RNA", at positions 505 to 796 of the family's 1533-position model. The record is from RNAcentral. Lineage: Bacteria; Bacillati; Actinomycetota; Actinomycetes; Micrococcales.